RNAcentral lists this ribosomal RNA (492 nucleotides) under uncultured bacterium. Its description in RNAcentral is "bacterial SSU rRNA". It matches the Rfam family "Bacterial small subunit ribosomal RNA", at positions 26 to 518 of the family's 1533-position model. The record is from RNAcentral.
UGGCGUACAGGACGAACGCUGGCGGCGUGCCUAACACAUGCAAGUCGAACGGAGUAUAAAAGGAAGCUUGCGAAUUUAUACUUAGUGGCGGACGGGUGAGUAACGCGUGGAUAACCUGCCUGAUAGCCUGGGAUAACAGCUGGAAACGGCUGCUAAUACCGGAUACGCUUGCGGAGUCGCAUGGCUCUGCAAGGAAAGCAUUUGUGCUAUCAGAUGGAUCCGCGUCCCAUUAGCUAGUUGGUGGUGUAGAGGACCACCAAGGCGACGAUGGGUAGCCGGCCUGAGAGGGCGAACGGCCACACUGGGACUGAGACACGGCCCAGACUCCUACGGGAGGCAGCAGUGGGGAAUCUUCCGCAAUGGGCGAAAGCCUGACGGAGCAACGCCGCGUGAGGGAAGAAGGCCUUCGGGUUGUAAACCUCUGUUUUCAGGGAAGAAGAAAGUGACGGUACCUGAAGAGUAAGCUCCGGCUAACUACGUGCCAGCAGCUGC